This 804-nucleotide long non-coding RNA is filed under the name Hordeum vulgare. RNAcentral's name for it is "long non-coding RNA (HVUL_LNC014745)". Lineage: Eukaryota; Viridiplantae; Streptophyta; Magnoliopsida; Poales; Poaceae. The record is from RNAcentral.
AAUAUCCAUCAUUUUAAGCUGGCAGGAAUAACUCCAUUAAUUCCCUACAGUUACAGAGGCAGAACUUUGGGGUUUAGUAAAACACCAUAAACUGUCUUGUACCGGCCAUUUGAGGGUCCAUUUAGUUUCCAGCUCUCCUCUCUCUCCCUGCUUCAGAAAGCAAAUAUCAAACACACAUGGAUAUCUGUGAAGAUUAUAUUGCUUCAGCAUUUUCUACAUACAACUAAAAGUAUUCGGCACUCAGGAUAUAGCUGAUAGUUAUUUCGAGAUGCACAAUAUAUAAGUUCAGUCUGCAGGACAUGUAGGCCAGUGUGAUUACGCUUUUCCCUAUCCUGGCUUCUCGAUGGAGGGUCCUUGUACAGCUGCUGGAAUCGCAGGUAGUUGCUGGGCAAAAACAUCUUACACAAAACAAUGCAAUGGAAAAUCAGGUUAGUUUCUCCCCAUGUAGCAGCGUACGCCAAACUCUUGAGAUGUUGCCCGCAGAAAAACAACACUUCGGAGAUACGCCUAUCGUUGUCGGGAUCGGAAGAGAUCAUUAUUGGCUAAAUUAUGGGCAUGAUCGAUCUGGAAUUUCAGCAAGGGCCGCCAGAUGUAGUGGACUUGAUGAAACCGAAUCCACAGCUACAUAACCGAAUCAAACAGAGAAGGGAGGGGGAGGGGAAAGGGGCGCACCUUCCCGUGUGCUAGGAGACGUGCUCGACGGAUCUGGUCGGUAGGGAAGAGGAGAGGGCCUACCCACCAGCCAUGUCGCCGGAGAUGUCCGCGUCGGGAUGGUUCGCCUUGAUGAAGGAGCAUUCGCCUUGA